CUUGAAUCGAUGAAGAGAAGAGUAGGGCUAGAUCCUAGUCUAUAGAGAGUCGACGGGUGGUGAGAGUCGAUGACAGGGCUUGCCUGAAGAUCAUCUCUGAGAUGUGCAGCUGAACAUUGUAAGUAAGCUGUGCCGGAUGGUUCCCCGUUAUAUUGGAGCACAUACUUUAUUUUGUAGUAUGUAAUCGAGAGCCGCGGUUUAUUUUUUUCUGAAAAUAGCUGCGGAAGUAGGGUGGUAACGCGAGCAAAAACUCGUCCCUAUC
Molecule: non-coding RNA, 262 nt
Filed under: Bacillus sp. (in: firmicutes)
Lineage: Bacteria; Bacillati; Bacillota; Bacilli; Caryophanales; Bacillaceae
Description: Bacillus sp. T-box sequence
Rfam family: T-box leader
About the family: Uncharged tRNA acts as the effector for transcription antitermination of genes in the T-box leader family.
Source: RNAcentral